UGGCUCAGGAUGAACGCUGGCGGCGUGCCUAAUACAUGCAAGUCGAGCGAACAGAUAAGGAGCUUGCUCCUUUGACGUUAGCGGCGGACGGGUGAGUAACACGUGGGUAACCUACCUAUAAGACUGGAAUAACUCCGGGAAACCGGGGCUAAUGCCGGAUAACAUUUAGAACCGCAUGGUUCUAAAGUGAAAGAUGGUUUUGCUAUCACUUAUAGAUGGACCCGCGCCGUAUUAGCUAGUUGGUAAGGUAAUGGCUUACCAAGGCAACGAUACGUAGCCGACCUGAGAGGGUGAUCGGCCACACUGGAACUGAGACACGGUCCAGACUCCUACGGGAGGCAGCAGUAGGGAAUCUUCCGCAAUGGGCGAAAGCCUGACGGAGCAACGCCGCGUGAGUGAUGAAGGGUUUCGGCUCGUAAAACUCUGUUAUUAGGGAAGAACAAACGUGUAAGUAACUGUGCACGUCUUGACGGUACCUAAUCAGAAAGCCACGGCUAACUACGUGCCAGCAGCCGCGGUAAUACGUAGGUGGCAAGGUUAUCCGGAAUUAUUGGGCGUAAAGCGCGCGUAGGCGGUUUCUUAAGUCUGAUGUGAAAGCCCACGGCUCAACCGUGGAGGGUCAUUGGAAACUGGGAGACUUGAGUGCAGAAGAGGAAAGUGGAAUUCCAUGUGUAGCGGUGAAAUGCG
This 687-nucleotide ribosomal RNA is filed under the name Staphylococcus arlettae. RNAcentral describes it as "bacterial SSU rRNA". It matches the Rfam family "Bacterial small subunit ribosomal RNA", at positions 20 to 690 of the family's 1533-position model. The record is from RNAcentral. Lineage: Bacteria; Bacillati; Bacillota; Bacilli; Caryophanales; Staphylococcaceae.